RNAcentral lists this ribosomal RNA (465 nucleotides) under uncultured Streptococcus sp. RNAcentral's name for it is "bacterial SSU rRNA". It matches the Rfam family "Bacterial small subunit ribosomal RNA", at positions 338 to 795 of the family's 1533-position model. The record is from RNAcentral. Lineage: Bacteria; Bacillati; Bacillota; Bacilli; Lactobacillales; Streptococcaceae.
CCUACGGGAGGCUGCAGUAGGGAAUCUUCGGCAAUGGGGGGAACCCUGACCGAGCAACGCCGCGUGAGUGAAGAAGGUUUUCGGAUCGUAAAGCUCUGUUGUUAAGGAAGAACGAGUGUGAGAAUGGAAAGUUCAUACUGUGACGGUACUUAACCAGAAAGGGACGGCUAACUACGUGCCAGCAGCCGCGGUAAUACGUAGGUCCCGAGCGUUGUCCGGAUUUAUUGGGCGUAAAGCGAGCGCAGGCGGUUAGAUAAGUCUGAAGUUAAAGGCAGUGGCUCAACCAUUGUAGGCUUUGGAAACUGUUUAACUUGAGUGCAGAAGGGGAGAGUGGAAUUCCAUGUGUAGCGGUGAAAUGCGUAGAUAUAUGGAGGAACACCGGUGGCGAAAGCGGCUCUCUGGUCUGUAACUGACGCUGAGGCUCGAAAGCGUGGGGAGCGAACAGGAUUAGAUACCCUUGUAGUC